This 253-nucleotide ribosomal RNA is filed under the name uncultured bacterium. RNAcentral describes it as "partial 16S ribosomal RNA". It matches the Rfam family "Bacterial small subunit ribosomal RNA", at positions 524 to 776 of the family's 1533-position model. The record is from RNAcentral.
UACGUAGGGUGCGAGCGUUAAUCGGAAUUACUGGGCGUAAAGCGUGCGCAGGCGGUGAUGUAAGACAGGUGUGAAAUCCCCGGGCUUAACCUGGGAACUGCAUUUGUGACUGCAUCGCUGGAGUGCGGAAGAGGGGGAUGGAAUUCCGCGUGUAGCAGUGAAAUGCGUAGAUAUGCGGAGGAACACCGAUGGCGAAGGCAAUCCCCUGGGCCUGCACUGACGCUCAUGCACGAAAGCGUGGGGAGCAAACAGG